This 5946-nucleotide long non-coding RNA is filed under the name Mytilus galloprovincialis (Mediterranean mussel). The record is from RNAcentral. Lineage: Eukaryota; Metazoa; Mollusca; Bivalvia; Mytilida; Mytilidae.
GUGUUUGUUUGUUUGUUUGUUUGUUUGUUUGUUUGUUAGGGGUCUAUAGUAUUGUGUUACCGGAGAAGUUUCAUGUUUAGUUUGGAAAGUGUUUAUUUUAUUUUAGGUACAGCGCGCGCGCCAGAUUGACGAGACAUCACGUGACACGGGUUUAUAAUAACGAAAACUUAGUCUUUUUAUUUCUUUUUAGGUCGGGACGUUAAACAGACAACAUGUAUAGAGAUGGAAUGUACACAAUGUAAUUUCUUUUGUCAUUGUAGGAAAUUGACAUUUUGAUCACAGGUCACGGGCAGUGCAUGUUUUGGAUUUAAUCGAUCCGGUGUAACUUUAAAACACAUUUAAUGAUUAUUUUCUGAUAAUGUACAUUUUUCAGCACCUGUUUGUAACACAGAUUAGUAUUUCAAUCUCGGAGCGGACAUUUUAUUGUAGGUUUUUACUGAGAUUUACGGACCUAGCAAGCGAUUUUUACGGCAUUGCCAUUUCUGUUCUCUAGGAAAAGCUUUGAGAGAUAUCUGCAACAAGUUUUUUUAUAAACCUUUAGUACAUGUAUGCCCUGCUGACUGCAAAUUUUGAGGUCGAUUGUACUUGUAGUUUCAGAGUACAUGUGGAUUUUUUUUUUUCAGAAGUGACGCAAGAACAAUAUUGAAUUUCGAUUUUUCAUGAAACAUGAUUGAUUGAUCAUGAUCAUGAUUGAUUGAUUGAUUGAUUGAUUGAUUGGUUGGUUGAUUGAUUGAUUGAUUGAUUGAUUGAUUGAUUGAUUGGUUGAUUGGUUGGUUGGUUGGUUGGUUGGUUGGUUGGUUGGUUAAACACGUUGGAUAGGGUCAAUUGAAACAGCGAAAAAGAAACAAAGAUCUUGGACCCUAUAUUAAACACAUGAGACGGACACAUGAUUGAUUGAUCAUGAUUGAUUGAUUGAUUGAUUGAUUGAUUGAUUGAUUGAUUGAUUGAUUGAUUGAUUGAUUGAUUGAUUGAUUGAUUGGUUGGUUGGUUGGUUGGUUGGUUGGUUGGUUGGUUCGUUAAACACGUUGGAUAGGGUCAGUUGAAACAGCGAAAAAGAAACAAAGAAGAUCUUGGAUCGUAUAAUAAACACAUGAGACGGAUACAUGAUUGAUUGAUUGAUUGAUUGAUCAUGAUCAUGAUCAUGAUUUAUUGAUUGAUUGAUUGAUUGAUUGAUUAGUUGGUUGGUUGUUUGGUCAAACACGUUGGAUAGGGUCAGUUGAAACAGCGAAAAAGAAACAAAGAAGAUCUUGAACCCUAUGAUAAACACACGAGACGGAAACGUGAUUGAUUGAUUGAUCAUGAUAAUUAUUGGUUGAUUGAUCAUGAUCAUGAUUGAUUGAUUGAUUGAUUGAUUGGUUGGUUGGUUGGUUGGUUGGUUGGUUGGUUGGUUGGUUGGCAGGCAAACACACAUAAAACUCUUCAAGUAGUGCCCAAAAUCACACAUGUACAUGACCUUGACCUUUGACCUUGACCUAAUUUUCGUUUUUUUGGACCAAGGAUCUCAAAUCAAAAGACCCGAGGUCUCUAUCACUUAUGGUUUUCCAGUUUAAAAUACAUUUCAAAAUUUCAAAAACAAAAGGGGAAUUAACUCUCAUAUGGAAUCUCUAUAAGGCUUCGGUCAACAAAAAAACAGAACGUCCUGAGGAUGUAACGCGCCAUUUGGAAAAAUAAAUUUGUCGGUUUCUUANGCAAUCAUUGGUAACAUGUGACUUUUUGACUGUGCCAUAAUCGCAAUAAACUUUUCUGCGUGUACGUGUAAAUAUGUUUGGUUACUUAAGGACAUCAAAAGUAAAAGUAGUUUUAGCAUUGUUGUUUACCAACUAAAGACAGUUGUAGAAUACGUAAUGAAAAUAUUUGUCUUAUUCUUCAUGAAUCAACAUAUUAUUUUCCUUCGGUUAACUUUCAUCCAUUUCUGACACUUUUUGUAAUGUAUUACUUGCGUUCUGUAGAUCUAUUUCCAACCACUUAGUGCAUGCCCUCUUUGUUGCAAAAGAAAUACCCUGAAAAGAAACAAAUAGAAUUAAAAACCAAUUGUUCAAAGAACAAUUGAAGGUCUUUCAACCAAUAAGGAUCUAUUUAGAUAUGAAAAUAUUAAGAUUCAGUUGAAAAUGUCAGUUCCUAUAGCUUUAUGAUGUAUAAAUAUGAAUUUCUAGAAGCAAAGGUCAAAAAUCAAAAUCUAGAACGUCCAAAUAACCUAUGACCUUGACCUCAAUUUCAAGGUCAUAAACAUAGAAUCCCAAAUCAAAAGACCCCAGAUCUGUAUUAUGUAUGGUUCAUGAGUAAUAUCACUUUACGCAUAAUUCUAAAUAUAAGAGGGGCAAAAACUCCCAUUUAUUGUCUACGCACCCUUCCAAUCAAAAUUUAUAAGUUACGACAUGUCGCAACUAACAAUUUAGUAAAAAUAUUUGUCGAAAUCUUAUAAAGUAAUGAAAAUAAGUGAAAAUAAGCCAAAAUCAAAAUUAGAAUUUGACCUUGACCUUUGACCUUGACCUAAUUUUCAUUUUUUUGGACCAAGGAUCUUAAAUCUAAAGACCCUAGGUCUCUAUCACUUAUGGUUUACCAGUUAGAAAUGCAUAUCACUUAUAUCAUAUAUAAAAGGGGGAUAACUCUCAUAUGGAGUCUCCAGAUAGCUUCGGUCAAAAUAAAACAGAUCAUCCUGAGGAUAUAACGAGCAAUUUGGAAAAAUAAAUUUGUCGCUUUCUUUUACGGUUGCGAAGCCUUAGUGGCCACAAGAAAAACAGUGUUCGGGGAGAUAACUCUUACAAGGUAAAGGUUUUUGUUACGCGGUGUCAGUUUCAGAAGCGCAUUAACUGUUCGAUAUCAUAUACCAUAUAUCUAAGCGACAUCUUGUGAAACAAAAAAACAGCGAAGGAAAAAAAAAGUUGGCGAAGAAAAAAAAAAAAAAUAAUAAAUAAUAAUAAUUAAAAACCAAUUGUUCAAAGAACAAUUGAAGGUCUUUCAACCAAUAAGGAUCUAUUUUAGAUAUGAAAAUAUUUAAAAAUUCAGUUGAAAAUGUCAGUUCCUAUGGCUUAAUGAUGUAUAAAUAUGAAUUUUAAGCAAAGGUCAAAAUCUAGAACGUCCAAUUAACCUAUGACCUUGACCUCAAUUUCAAGGUCAUAGACUAAACAUCUCAAAUAAAAAGACACUAGUUCCUUAAUAUGUAUGGUUCAUGAGUAAAAUCACUUUACGCAUAAUUCUUAAUAUAAGAGGGGCGAAAAACUCCCUUUUAUGGUUUACGCACCCUUGCAACCAAAAAUUUAUAAGUUACGACAUGUCGCAACUAACAAUUUAGUAAAAAAAAAAAUGUCGAUAUCUUAUAAGGUUAAUGAAAAAAGGUGAAAAAGCAGCCAAAUCAAAAUUUAGAAUUUGACCUUGACCUUUGACCUUGACCUAAUUUUCAUUUUUUUGGACCAAGGAUCUUAAAUCAAAAGACCCUAGGUCUCUAUCACUUAUAGUUUACCAGUUAGAAAUGCAUAUCACUGAUAUUCAUAUAAAAGGGGGGAUAACUCUCAUAUGGAGUCUCCGGAUAGCUUCGGUUGAAAUGAAACAGAAACAUCCUAAGGAUAUAACGAGCAAUUUGGAAAAAUAAAUUUGUCGGUUUCUUAUACGGUUGCGAAGAGUAGUGGCCACAAGAAAAACAGUGUUUCGGGGAGAUAACUCUUACAAGGUAAAGUUUUUUGUUACGCGGUGUCAGUUUCAGAAGCGUAUUAACUGGUCGAUAUCAUUUACCUUAUAUCUAAGCGAUAUCUUGUGAAACAAAAAAAACAGCGAAGGAAAAAAAGUUGGCGGAAGAAAAAAAAAAAAAAAAAAAUAAUAAUAAAAAAAAAUAAUUCAAUGAAAGGUUGAAAACCUAAUUAAAACAAUUGUUCAAAGAACAAUUGAAGGUCUUUCAACCAAUAAGGAUCUAUUUUGAUAUGAAAAUAUUAAAAUUCAGUUGAAAAUGUCAGUUCCUAUGGCUUUAUGAUAUAGAAAUAUGAAUGAAUUUAAAGCAAAGGUCAAAAUCUAGAACGUCCAAUUAACCUAUGACCUUGACCUCAAUUUCAAGGUCAUAAACUAAGGCACCAAAUCGAAUCAAAAGACCACUAGUCUUAAUAUGUAUGGUUCAUGAGUAAGUAAUAUCACUUUACGCAUAAUUCUAAAUAUAAGAGGGGCAAAAAACUCCCGUUUAUUGUCUACGCACCCUUCCAACCAAAAUUUUAAGUUACGACAUGUCGCAACUAACAAUUUAGUAAAAAAUAAUUUGUCGAAUAUCUUAUAAAGUUAAUGAAAUAAGUGAAAAUAAGCCAAAAUCAAAAUUAGAAUUUGACCUUGACCUUUGACCUUGACCUAAUUUUCAUUUUUUUUGGACCAAGGAUUCAAAUCAAAAGACCCUAGGUCUCUAUCACUUAUAGUUUACCAGUUAGAAAUGCAUAUCACUGAUAUCAUAUAUAAAAGGGAGGGAUACUCUCAUAUGGAGUCUCCGGAUAGCUUCGGUUGAAAUGAAACAGAACAUCCUAAGGAUAUAACGAGCAAUUUGGAAAAAUAAAUUUGUCGGUUUCUUAUACGGUUGCGAAGGAGUAGUGGCCACAAGAAAAACAGUGUUCGGGGAGAUAACUCUUACAAGGUAAAGUUUUUUGUUACGCGGUGUCAGUUUCAGAAGCGUAUUAACUGUUCGAUAUCAUUUACCUUAUAUCUAAGCGAUAUCUUGCGAAACAAAAAAACAGCGAAGGAAAAAAAAGAGUGGCGAAGAAAAAAAAAAAUAAUAAUAAUAAAUAUAAAUCAAUUGCUUUAAAAAAGCAAUUGUAUAAAGGUCUUUCCCCCUUUGAAAUUGAUUAUAUAUGGGGGGGGGGAGGGGUCUGUUUAUUUGUUUGUUCGUUUGUUUGUUUCGGUAUGGGGUCUAUAGUAUUGUGUUACCGGAGAAGUUUCAUGCUUAGUUUGGAAAGUUUUUAUUUUAUAUUUAGGUACAGCGCGCGCGCCAGAUUGAGGAGACAUCACGUGACGCGGGUUUAUAAUAACGAAAACUUAGUCUUUUAAUUUCUUUUUAGGUCGGGACGUUAAACAGACAACAUGUGUAGAGAUGGAAUGUACACAAUGUAAUUUCUUUUGUCAUUGUAGGAAAUUGACAUUUUGAUCACAGGUCACGGGCAGUGCAUGUUUUGGAUUUAAUCGAUCCGGUGUAACUUUAAAACACAUUUAAUGAUUAUUUUCUGAUAAUGUACAUUUUUCAGCACCUGUUUGUAACACAGAUUAGUAUUUCAAUCUCGGAGCGGACAUUUUAUUGUAGGUUUUUACUGAGAUUUACGGACCUAGCAAGCGAUUUUUACGGCAUUGCCAUUUCUGUUCUCUAGGAAAAGCUUUGAGAGAUAUCUGCAACAAGUUUUUUUAUAAACCUUUAGUACAUGUUAUGCCCUGCUGACUGCAAAUUUGAGGUCGAUUGUACUUGUAGUUUCAGAGUACAUGUGGAUUUUUUUUUCAGAAGUGACGCAAGAACAAUAUUGAAUUUCGAUUUUUCAUGAAACAUGAUUGAUUGAUCAUGAUCAUGAUUGAUUGAUUGAUUGAUUGAUUGAUUGGUUGGUUGGUUGGUUGGUUGAUUGAUUGAUUGAUUGGUUGAUUAGUUGGUUGGUCGGUCGGUCGGUCGGUUGGUUGGUUGGUUAAACACGUUGGAUAGGGUCAAUUGAAACAGCGAAAAAGAAACACAGAUCUUGGACCCUAUAUUAAACACAUGAGACGGACACAUGAUUGAUUGAUUGAUUGAUUGAUUAGUUGGUUGGUUGGUUGGUUGGUUGGUUGGAUAGGGUCAAUUGAAACAGCGAAAAAGAAACCAAGAUCUUGGACCCUAUAUUAAACACAUGAGACGGACACAUGAUUGAUUGAUUGAUUGAUUGAUUGAUUGAUUGAUUGAUUGAUUGAUUGGUUGGUUGGUUGGUUGGUUGGUUGGUUGGUUGGUUGGUUGGUUGGUUGUUAAAC